Dermacentor silvarum is the source of this 398-nucleotide long non-coding RNA. RefSeq lists it as uncharacterized. The transcript has 2 exons. NCBI's taxonomy places the organism in Eukaryota, Metazoa, Arthropoda, Arachnida, Ixodida, Ixodidae. The record is from RefSeq and is a predicted model, not a curated record.
UCUCACUUUUGCAGGUAACGGUAGCCUUCCUCCGCAUGUGGAUCGAAGCUACACUGUUAUCUUCGUCACGGAGAGCUGCAUCAUUGUGCGAGACGACAAAACGGCAUUCAGUGAUAAACCCAUUUUUUUCUUGUGGCAAUUAGAAAACAUGUAUGGCAGCGCCUAUAUCGACUGUCUGGAGGUAUAUGAGUUUAUAUCCAAGCGGCCUGGUUUUGAUUCUCGCACCGAAUGUGAGCACUGCUGUGACAGUAUGCCUCAAGUAAUGCACCUGGCCCGGCGUGAAUGUGGCUUAGACCUCAGUAACAUAAAUCUGCCAUGAACCAGGAACAUCUUUAAUACGUCGGAGUGCUGUAGAGCAUAGCUUGUAGAUUUUCUGGGCACCCGCUGAAAGCCGACCG